UAUAAGAGGUCCAGCCUGCCCAGUGACCAAAAGUUUAACGGCCGCGGUAUUUUGACCGUGCAAAGGUAGCGCAAUCACUUGUCUUUUAAAUAAAGACCUGUAUGAAUGGCUAAACGAGGGCUUAACUGUCUCCCUUUUUAAGUCAGUAAAAUUGAUCUACCCGUGCAGAAGCGGGUAUAAAUAUACAAGACGAGAAGACCCUUUGGAGCUUAAGGUAAAAACUCAACCACGUCAAGCAACCAACAUAAAAUAGCAGUAAACCUUGUGGUUAAAUGAGAUUAUACCUUCGGUUGGGGCGACCACGGAGGAAAAAAAAGCCUCCAAGUGGAAUGGGGAAACCCCCUAAAACUAAGAGAGACAUCUCUAAGGCACAGAACAUCUGACCAUAAAUGAUCCGGCUAAUAAAUAACCGAUCAACGAACCAAGUUACCCUAGGGAUAACAGCGCAAUCCUCUCCCAGAGUCCAUAUCGACGAGAGGGUUUACGACCUCGAUGUUGGAUCAGGACAUCCUAAUGGUGCAGCCGCUAUUAAGGGUUCGUUUGUUCAACGAUUAAAGUCCUACGUGA
RNAcentral lists this ribosomal RNA (567 nucleotides) under Barbodes aff. binotatus BBNOT10. Its description in RNAcentral is "partial large subunit ribosomal RNA". It matches the Rfam family "Bacterial large subunit ribosomal RNA", at positions 1844 to 2603 of the family's 2925-position model. Lineage: Eukaryota; Metazoa; Chordata; Actinopteri; Cypriniformes; Cyprinidae. RNAcentral also lists the same sequence under 5 other names. The record is from RNAcentral.